Molecule: non-coding RNA, 21 nt
Organism: Caenorhabditis elegans
Lineage: Eukaryota; Metazoa; Nematoda; Chromadorea; Rhabditida; Rhabditidae
Source: Ensembl
UUUACUAAAAUUCAUGCCAGU